AUGCUUCAUGUUGACCUUGGUUUUAUCAGUGACAAUAGCUCGGUUGUGGAGUGGGUGGAUGGUCCUUGGCCAGAGAUUCUACAAAGGUGCCUAACAAGGAUUUGGGACAUGUACCAUGAGCAGAACUUGGGGAGGGUGAAGGACAAACAAGCCCAUGAGAAAGAGGUGGCUAAGCUAUAGAAGGAAAUUGAUUUCCUGUCAAACAACUACAGCCAGUUGGUGGAAGAUGUAUCCAAGCUUUUUGACUAUCAAGAUGGCAAGAUGUCUCAUAACAUGUACUAUACCAGUCAGGCAAUCAAUGAUCUAAAUGCAAAGAAGAAACAACUUCAGGAUCAAGCAAAGAUUGAGAUAAGUAAGGAAAAGAUGAAGCCUGCCAAGGAGCAAAGGUGCAUUCUUCAAAGCCAAGCAGAUAUCAUUCAGAACAUGAGGAAGGCCGUGAAGGAAGUGGAGGGGGACAGGGACCUACUUAAGCAAGAGAAGAAGAAGCUGGAGUAUCUGAUUGCUGAUCUGGUCAAUGCUGGGCAUGCCAGCAAAGAUAAGCUGGAGAGGAUCAAGGCAAUUAUGAAUGAGUGA
RNAcentral lists this ribosomal RNA (573 nucleotides) under Triticum aestivum (bread wheat). Its description in RNAcentral is "partial small subunit ribosomal RNA". The record is from RNAcentral. Lineage: Eukaryota; Viridiplantae; Streptophyta; Magnoliopsida; Poales; Poaceae.